This 497-nucleotide ribosomal RNA is filed under the name uncultured bacterium. RNAcentral describes it as "partial 16S ribosomal RNA". It matches the Rfam family "Bacterial small subunit ribosomal RNA", at positions 28 to 507 of the family's 1533-position model. The record is from RNAcentral.
GAUGAACGCUGGCGGCGUGCCUAAUACAUGCAAGUCGAGCGAACAGACGAGGAUCUUGCUCCUCUGAUGUUAGCGGCGGACGGGUGAGUAACACGUGGAUAACCUACCUAUAAGACUGGGAUAACUUCGGGAAACCGGAGCUAAUACCGGAUAACAUGUUGAACCGCAUGGUUCAACAGUGAAAGACAGUCUUGCUGUUACUUAUAGAUGGAUCCGCGCCGCAUUAGCUAGUUGGUAAGGUAACGGCUUACUAAGGCAACGAUGCGUAGCCGACCUGAGAGGGUGAUCGGCCACACUGGAACUGGGACACGGUCCAGACUCCUACGGGAGGCAGCGGUAGGGAAUCUUCCGCAAUGGGCGAAAGCCUGACGGAGCAACGCCGCGUGAGUGAAGAAGGUCUUCGGAUCGUAAAACUCUGUUAUUAGGGAAGAACAAAUGUGUAAGUAACUAUGCACGUCUUGACGGUACCUAAUCAGAAAGCCACGGCUAACUACGUG